CGUAGGGUGCAAGCGUUAAUCGGAAUUACUGGGCGUAAAGCGUGCGCAGGCGGUUUUGUAAGUCUGUCGUGAAAUCCCCGGGCUCAACCUGGGAAUUGCGAUGGAGACUGCAAGGCUAGAAUCUGGCAGAGGGGGGUAGAAUUCCACGUGUAGCAGUGAAAUGCGUAGAGAUGUGGAGGAACACCGAUGGCGAAGGCAGCCCCCUGGGUCAAGAUUGACGCUCAUGCACGAAAAGCGUGGGGAGCAAAACAGGAUU
RNAcentral lists this ribosomal RNA (256 nucleotides) under uncultured bacterium. Its description in RNAcentral is "partial 16S ribosomal RNA". It matches the Rfam family "Bacterial small subunit ribosomal RNA", at positions 526 to 779 of the family's 1533-position model. The record is from RNAcentral.